GCGCGAGUGGUGAAAUUGGCAGACACGUUAGUUUUAGGCACUAAUGCUUUGCGGCGUAAGGGUUCAAGUCCCUUCUCGCGCACCA
This 85-nucleotide transfer RNA is filed under the name Metamycoplasma cloacale. Its description in RNAcentral is "Mycoplasma cloacale tRNA-Leu(tag)". It matches the Rfam family "tRNA". From Rfam's summary of the family: Transfer RNA (tRNA) molecules are approximately 80 nucleotides in length. Their secondary structure includes four short double-helical elements and three loops (D, anti-codon, and T loops). The record is from RNAcentral. Lineage: Bacteria; Bacillati; Mycoplasmatota; Mycoplasmoidales; Metamycoplasmataceae.